UCCAAGGCUAAAUACUCUCUAAUGACCGAUAGUGAACAAGUACCGUGAGGGAAAGGCGAAAAGAACCCCGGGAGGGGAGUGAAAUAGAACCUGAAAUCGUAUGCAUACAAGCAGUAGGAGCGGAUUUAUUUCGUGACUGCGUACCUUUUGUAUAAUGGGUCAGCGACUUACUUCUCAGUAGCAAGGUUAACCAAUAGGGGAGCCGUAGGGAAACCGAGUCUUAAAUGGGCGUUUAGUUGCUGGGAGUAGACCCGAAACCGGGUGAUCUAUCCAUGGCCAGUGUGAAGGUUAGGUAAAACUAACUGGAGGCGCGAACCCACUUAUGUUGAAAAAUGAGGGGAUGAGCUGUGGAUAGGGGUGAAAGGCCAAACAAACCCGGAGAUAGCUGGUUCUCUCCGAAAUCUAUUUAGGUAGAGCCUCAUGUAUUACUGUCGGGGGUAGAGCGCUGUUAUGGCUAGCGGGUCGUCAAGGCUUAGCAAACCAUUGCAAACUCCGAAUACCGACAAGUAUGAGCAUGGGAGACACACUGCGGGUGCUAACGUCCGUAGUGGAAAGGGAAACAACCCAGACCGUCAGCUAAGGUCCCAAAAUUGUAGUUAAGUGGGAAACGAUGUGAAAAGGCCCAGACAGCCAGGAGGUUGGCUUAGAAGCAGCCAUUCCUUUAAAGAGUGCGUAAUAGCUCACUGGUCGAGUCGGUUUGCGCGGAAGAUUUAACGGGGCUAAAACUACAUACCGAAGCUACGGAUCGCAAUUUAUUGCGAUGGUAGGAGAGCGUUCUGUAAGCCGUUGAAGGUGAACUGUGAGGUUUGCUGGAGGUAUCAGAAGUGCGAAUGCUGACAUGAGUAACGAUAAAGGGGGUGAAAAACCCCCUCGCCAGAAGUCCAAGGUUUCCUACGCAACGUUAAUCGGCGUAGGGUUAGUCGGUCCCUAAGGCGAGGCAGAAAUGCGUAGUCGAUGGGAAAUGGGUUAAUAUUCCCAUACUUCAUAUAACUGCGAUGGGAAGACGGAGAAGGUUAACGUAGCUUGGCGAUGGUUGUCCAAGUUCAAGCGUGUAGAGUAGGUUCUUAGGAAAAUCCGGGAACCUUAGAUUUAGUUCUAAAGCUCAAGGCGUGAUAACGAUCCCUCUUUUGGGAGAAGUGCGUGAUACCAUGCUUCCAGGAAAAUCCUCUAAGCUUCAGGUUAUGUGAAACCGUACCCCAAACCGACACAGGUGGACGAGAUGAGAAUUCUAAGGCGCUUGAGAGAACUCGGGUGAAGGAACUAGGCAAAAUGACACCGUAACUUCGGGAGAAGGUGUGCUCUUGCCGGUGAUUUUACUUGCUAAAUGAGCUGGUAAGAGUUGAAGAUACCAGGUGGCUCCGACUGUUUAUUAAAAACACAGCACUCUGCAAACACGUAAGUGGACGUAUAGGGUGUGACGCCUGCCCGGUGCUUGAAGGUUAAUUGAUGAGGUUAGGAUUCGUCCGAAGCUUUUGAUUGAAGCCCAAGUAAACGGCGGCCGUAACUAUAACGGUCCUAAGGUAGCGAAAUUCCUUGUCGGGUAAGUUCCGACCUGCACGAAUGGCGUAACGAGGGCCACACUGUCUCCACCCGAGACUCAGUGAAAUUGAAAUUGCUGUUAAGAUGUAGUGUACCCGCGGCCAGACGGAAAGACCCCGUGCACCUUUACUACAGCUUUGCAUUGAACUCUGAUCCUACCUGUGUAGGAUAGGUGGGAGGCUUUGAAGCUUGGACGCUAGUUCGAGUGGAGCCACCCUUGAAAUACCACCCUGGUAUGGUUGGGGUUCUAACCUAGGUCCAUUAUCUGGAUCGGGGACAAUGCAUGGUGGG
Molecule: ribosomal RNA, 1830 nt
Filed under: Vesicomya sp. 'Mid-Atlantic Ridge' endosymbiont
Lineage: Bacteria; Pseudomonadati; Pseudomonadota; Gammaproteobacteria
Description: bacterial LSU rRNA
Rfam family: Bacterial large subunit ribosomal RNA
Source: RNAcentral